UCCUCUCCUGCCAGACUUAUUACCGGU
This 27-nucleotide non-coding RNA is filed under the name Rattus norvegicus (Norway rat). The record is from RNAcentral. Lineage: Eukaryota; Metazoa; Chordata; Mammalia; Rodentia; Muridae.